Molecule: ribosomal RNA, 497 nt
Filed under: uncultured bacterium
Lineage: Bacteria
Description: partial 16S ribosomal RNA
Rfam family: Bacterial small subunit ribosomal RNA
Source: RNAcentral
GACGAACGCUGGCGGCGUGCCUAAUACAUGCAAGUUGAGCGCUGAAGGUUGGUACUUGUACCAACUGGAUGAGCAGCGAACGGGUGAGUAACGCGUGGGGAAUCUGCCUUUGAGCGGGGGACAACAUUUGGAAACGAAUGCUAAUACCGCAUAAAAACUUUAAACACAAGUUUUAAGUUUGAAAGAUGCAAUUGCAUCACCCAAAGAUGAUCCCGCGUUGUAUUAGCUAGUUGGUGAGGUAAAGGCUCACCAAGGCGAUGAUACAUAGCCGACCUGAGAGGGUGAUCGGCCACAUUGGGACUGGGACGCGGCCCAAACUCCUACGGGAGGCAGCAGUAGGGAAUCUUCGGCAAUGGACGAAAGUCUGACCGAGCAACGCCGCGUGAGUGAAGAAGGUUUUCGGAUCGUAAAACUCUGUUGGUAGGGAAAAACGUUGGUGAGAGUGGAAAGCUCAUCAAGUGACGGUAACUACCCAGAAAGGGACGGCUAACUACGUG